GCCCAUGUAGCUCAGGGGUAGAGCACUCCCUUGGUAAGGGAGAGGCCGACAGUUCAAUUCUGUCCAUGGGCA
Non-coding RNA from Snodgrassella alvi, 72 nucleotides. The record is from Rfam. NCBI's taxonomy places the organism in Bacteria, Pseudomonadati, Pseudomonadota, Betaproteobacteria, Neisseriales, Neisseriaceae.